GCGCUUGUGAUGUAGUGGUAUCAUAUUGCUCUUAUACUAGCUUUGUUACGAAGCCCGUAUGGUAGAAAUGCAAAGGUCGUGAGUUCAAUCCUCACCUGGCGCA
Molecule: non-coding RNA, 103 nt
Organism: Xylaria longipes
Lineage: Eukaryota; Fungi; Ascomycota; Sordariomycetes; Xylariales; Xylariaceae
Source: the annotation of a GenBank genome assembly